Molecule: RNase P RNA, 300 nt
Filed under: uncultured Monoglobus sp.
Lineage: Bacteria; Bacillati; Bacillota; Clostridia; Monoglobales; Monoglobaceae
Description: Bacterial RNase P class A
Rfam family: Bacterial RNase P class A
About the family: Ribonuclease P (RNase P) is a ubiquitous endoribonuclease, found in archaea, bacteria and eukarya as well as chloroplasts and mitochondria. Its best characterised activity is the generation of mature 5'-ends of tRNAs by cleaving the 5'-leader elements of precursor-tRNAs. Cellular RNase Ps are ribonucleoproteins.
Source: RNAcentral
GGCACGCGGGCGAGGAAAGUCCGGGCUCCAUAGGGCAGGAUGCAAGCUAACGGCUUGUGGAGGCGACUCUAAGGAAAGUGCAACAGAAAGAUACCGCCUGCAAUACGCAGGUAAGGGUGAAAAGGCGAGGUAAGAGCUCACCCGGUGAUAUGGCGACUUAUCACCGCUGUAAACCCCAUCCGGAGCAACACCUGACACGAAGAUUAAGCCGGCCCGGCACCUUCGGAGAUUGGUGGCUUGAGACGUAUGGUGACAUACGUUCGAGAUAGAUAAUCAUCCACGACAGAACCCGGCUUACGU